This 614-nucleotide ribosomal RNA is filed under the name Escherichia coli. Its description in RNAcentral is "bacterial SSU rRNA". It matches the Rfam family "Bacterial small subunit ribosomal RNA", at positions 931 to 1533 of the family's 1533-position model. The record is from RNAcentral. Lineage: Bacteria; Pseudomonadati; Pseudomonadota; Gammaproteobacteria; Enterobacterales; Enterobacteriaceae.
GGUGGAGCAUGUGGUUUAAUGUGAUGCAAAGCGAAGAACCUUACCUGGUCUUGACAUCCAAAGAACUUUCCAGGGGUGGAUUGGUGCCUUCGGGAACGGGGGGACAGGUGCUGCAUGGCUGUCGUCAGCUCGUGUUGUGAAAUGUUGGGUUAAGUCCCGCAACGAGCGCAACCCUUAUCCUUUGUUGCCAGCGGUCCGGCCGGGAACUCAAAGGAGACUGCCAGUGAUAAACUGGAGGAAGGUGGGGAUGACGUCAAGUCAUCAUGGCCCUUACGACCAGGGCUACACACGUGCUACAAUGGCGCAUACAAAGAGAAGCGACCUCGCGAGAGCAAGCGGACCUCAUAAAGUGCGUCGUAGUCCGGAUUGGAGUCUGCAACUCGAUUCCAUGAAGUCGGAAUCGCUAGUAAUCGUGGAUCAGAAUGCCACGGUGAAUACGUUCCCGGGCCUUGUACACACCGCCCGUCACACCAUGGGAGUGGGUUGCAAAAGAAGUAGGUAGCUUAACCUUCGGGAGGGCGCUUACCACUUUGUGAUUCAUGACUGGGGUGAAGUCGUAACAAGGUAACCGUAGGGGAACCUGCGGUUGGAUCACCUCCUUACCUUAAAGAAGC